AGCAGCCGCGGUAAUUCCAGCUCCAAUAGCGUAUAUUAAAGUUGUUGCAGUUAAAAGCUCGUAGUUGAAUUUCGGGAUCAUCAGGUUGGUCGUGCCUCUGGUAUGUACUUUUCUCGAUGGUUCCUCCUUCUUGAAGAACCGUAAUGCCAUUAAUUUGGUGUUGCGGGGAAACAGGACUGUUACUUUGAAAAAAUUAGAGUGUUCAAAGCAGGCUUAUGUCUGAAUACAUUAGCAUGGAAUAAUAAAAUAGGACGGUGGUCCUGUUUUGUUGGUUUCUGAAUCACCGUAAUGAUUAAUAGGGAUAGUUGGGGGCAUUAGUAUUCAAUUGUCAGAGGUGAAAUUCUUGGAUUUAU
RNAcentral lists this ribosomal RNA (353 nucleotides) under uncultured Glomeraceae. RNAcentral describes it as "bacterial SSU rRNA". It matches the Rfam family "Eukaryotic small subunit ribosomal RNA", at positions 569 to 929 of the family's 1831-position model. The record is from RNAcentral. Lineage: Eukaryota; Fungi; Glomeromycota; Glomeromycetes; Glomerales; Glomeraceae.